Molecule: small nucleolar RNA, 84 nt
Filed under: Microtus ochrogaster (prairie vole)
Lineage: Eukaryota; Metazoa; Chordata; Mammalia; Rodentia; Cricetidae
Description: Small nucleolar RNA SNORA40 (ENSMOCG00000008021.1)
Rfam family: Small nucleolar RNA SNORA40
About the family: The snoRNA ACA 40 belongs to the H/ACA family of snoRNAs and guides the pseudouridylation of 28S rRNA subunit at position U4565. NB This family has a high threshold value to exclude a large number of closely related sequences that do not appear to have conserved H and ACA boxes, and may be pseudogenes.
Source: RNAcentral
UGCAAACAGGUGCAAAAAUAAAUCCUCUUUUGCAACCCAGAACUCAUUGGUGUAUGAGUUUUGGUACGUGUAAGAAGGAACAUC